AAUGCAUAGGAAUUUGCCUUGAAGUGGGGGAUAGCCCGGAGAAAUCCGGAUUAAUACCGCAUGCGCUCUACGGAGCAAAGCGGGCCUCUUCUUGAAAGCUCGCGCUUUGAGAUAAGCCUAUGUCGGAUUAGCUUGUUGGUAGGGUAAUGGCCUACCAAGGCGACGAUCCGUAGCUGGUUUGAGAGGAUGAUCAGCCACACUGGGACUGAGACACGGCCCAG
Molecule: ribosomal RNA, 221 nt
Filed under: uncultured bacterium
Lineage: Bacteria
Description: partial 16S ribosomal RNA
Rfam family: Bacterial small subunit ribosomal RNA
Source: RNAcentral